RNAcentral lists this ribosomal RNA (252 nucleotides) under uncultured Bacteroidales bacterium. Its description in RNAcentral is "partial 16S ribosomal RNA". It matches the Rfam family "Bacterial small subunit ribosomal RNA", at positions 524 to 776 of the family's 1533-position model. The record is from RNAcentral. Lineage: Bacteria; Pseudomonadati; Bacteroidota; Bacteroidia; Bacteroidales.
UACGGAGGAUGCGAGCGUUAUCCGGAUUUAUUGGGUUUAAAGGGUGCGUAGGCGGGACCUUAAGUCAGCGGUAAAAUUGCGGUGCUCAACGCCGUAGAGCCGUUGAAACUGGGGUUCUUGAGUGAGCGAGAAGUAUGCGGAAUGCGUGGUGUAGCGGUGAAAUGCAUAGAUAUCACGCAGAACCCCGAUUGCGAAGGCAGCAUACCGGCGCUCAACUGACGCUGAGGUUCGAAAGCGUGGGUAGCAAACAGG